RNAcentral lists this ribosomal RNA (740 nucleotides) under uncultured Bacteroidota bacterium. RNAcentral describes it as "bacterial SSU rRNA". It matches the Rfam family "Bacterial small subunit ribosomal RNA", at positions 8 to 742 of the family's 1533-position model. Lineage: Bacteria; Pseudomonadati; Bacteroidota. The record is from RNAcentral.
AGAGUUUGAUCCUGGCUCAGGAUGAACGCUAGCGGCAGGCUUCAUACAUGCAAGUCGAGGGGCAGCAUAAAUUACUUGUAAUCUGAUGGCGACCGGCGAACGGGUGCGUAACGCGUAUGCAACUUACCUUUUACUAGAGAAUAGCCAAGAGAAAUUUUGAUUAAUGCUCUAUGUUCUUAUUUACUCGCAUGAGUAAAUAAGCAAAGCUCCGGCGGUAAAAGAUGGGCAUGCGUCCUAUUAGCUUGUAGGUGAGGUAAUGGCUCACCUAAGCUCCGAUAGGUAGGGGUCCUGAGAGGGAGAUCCCCCACACUGGUACUGAGACACGGACCAGACUUCUACGGAAGGCAGCAGUAAGGAAUAUUGGACAAUGGAGGCAACUCUGAUCCAGCCAUGCCGCGUGAAGGAAGACGGCCUUAUGGGUUGUAAACUUCUUUUAUACAGGAAGAAACCUUUCCACGUGUGGAAAGUUGACGGUACUGUAAGAAUAAGGAUCGGCUAACUCCGUGCCAGCAGCCGCGGUAAUACGGAGGAUCCAAGCGUUAUCCGGAAUUAUUGGGUUUAAAGGGUCCGCAGGCUGUUUGUUAAGUCAGAGGUGAAAUCCUACCGCUCAACGGUAGAACUGCCUUUGAUACUGGCAAACUUGAGUUAUUGUGAAGUAGUUAGAAUGUGUAGUGUAGCGGUGAAAUGCAUAGAUAUUACACAGAAUACCGAUUGCGAAAGCAGAUUACUAACAUAUACUG